RNAcentral lists this transfer RNA (71 nucleotides) under Bos taurus (domestic cattle). It matches the Rfam family "tRNA". Rfam says of the family: Transfer RNA (tRNA) molecules are approximately 80 nucleotides in length. Their secondary structure includes four short double-helical elements and three loops (D, anti-codon, and T loops). The record is from Rfam by way of RNAcentral. Lineage: Eukaryota; Metazoa; Chordata; Mammalia; Artiodactyla; Bovidae. RNAcentral also lists the same sequence under 4 other names.
CCCUGGUUGCUCAGAUGGUAAAGAAUCUGCCUGCAAUGCAGGAGACCCAGGUUCAUAUCCUAGAUCGGGAA